AGCACAUCCUGUGUCUUAAAAAUUUGGUUUAGUUGUUAACUGCUAUUAGCUGCUUAGCUGUUAAAUGCUUAAUUUCUUGCUAUGUUUUGUUUUUUGUAUGUUUUGAAGACUAUAUUUUCUUAUUGAAUGUCUUUUGAAAUAUCAUAUGAAAUAUAUGAAUAUUAUUCACACUAACUGUUGUUUAUAUUGUGAAUUAGUAUGUGUUUCUGCAGUUUCCACAGAGAAAAUGAAUCUACAUUUGGAAAGAGGUUUUUCAAACAUAAAUUUUGUUCUUCGCAUGCACGUAGCAUCACUAAUCUUAACAUUCUAGUUUUGUAUCACAUUUUUUGUUGUGCACAGAGCCAUGGUGGAGACUUGGCUGGAAGACCCAGGGGGACGACAAACUGAGAUGGAGCCAAUGGAAGUGGAGACUCAUGCAGAGCCGAAGAGCCAAUGAGACCACAUGAGACCGAUGGAUCAGGAGAUCAAAGCAGAACUGCAGCGAUGAGUGUCCGAGGUGGAGCCAGGUUGCCAAAGGACUGAGGUGAAGCCGAUGAGACUGAGGACAAAGGAAAAGCCAGAGGGAAGUCAGAGCCCGACAGAGCCGAAGGGGUGGAAGGACGAAGAACAGCUGAAGGCCCGGAAGUCCAUGGCUCAGGCGGAGUGACAUCUGACCAAGGUGGAGCUGGAGAGACGAUGGUCCCAGGUGGAGCCGAGGGAGGGAGGAGCCAAAAUGGAUCCGACUGGUCAACAAGCCGAGGAGGAGUGACGGGCUAGGUGGCUGAAGGUGGAGCCAGAGGAUUCUCUUGUCAAGACGGAGCUGGAGACCCGAAGACCCGAGGCAGAUCCAAGCAGCAGAGUGGAGACAGAGGAGGAGCGGAGGGACUGAAGGGAACCAGUGGAGGCGGGGCCGAGGAACUAGCUAUUUUAGAAAAAGGAGGUGGGAGAGGAAGGCUGGGUGAGAUCACUGGAGACACUGGAGCUUGGCAGGACCAGCAGAGACACAGGAGACUUGGAGCUGGACAGAACCAGCAAAGACACAGGGGACUUGGAGCUGGGUGGGACCAGCGGCAACAGGAAAUUUAGGGGAAUAUCAUGAUUUUCAUAUAUGAUCUAUUUUAAUUUUUUACUACUUUUUGUGCGCCAAAAAAACAAAAUAAUCACUUUUCAACAAUAUCUAGUGAUGGGUGAUUUCAAAACACUGCUUGGAAGCUUUACGAAACUCUUGUUUUGAAUCAGUGGUUCGGAUCACGUAUCAAACUGCCGAAGUCAUGUGAACUAUUGAAAUUGCGAAACACUUACGACUUAACAAAGCCUUGUUUACUGAAAUCACGUGACUUUAGCGUUAUUUUGUUUUUUUGGUGCACAAAAAGUAUUCUCGUUGCUUUAAAAUAUUAAGGUUGAACACAUGAACUGUUUUAAAUAUGUUUUUAGUACCUUUUUGGACAUCUGAAAGUGUUAAUUAUCUUGCUGGCAAUAGAGGCCUCACUGAGCCAUCGGAUUUCAUCAAAAAUAUCUUAAUUUGUGUUCCGAAGAUGAACGAAGGUCUUCCAGGUGUGGAACAACAUGAGGUGAAGAGGGCUGAAGCAGAUUGUGUCAGAGAGGAAGAGGAGUGAAGGAGAGAGACAGGAACUGAUGAGGUAACACAACUCAGUGUCAGCUCCAGAUAGAAUCAUCACCAGGAGGUGUGAAUUGAACCUCAGCCAGAGUGUCUGUCGAUCACUGAUAUACCACCACACAUUCGCUGUGUUUCUCUCCUCGCUUUAUUUUCUUUCUCACUAUCUCUCUCUCCACUAUCUCUUUCUCCUCACAGGCCUACCCGUCUCCCUCUCUCGUACCAUCUUCCCUCUUGCAUCUGUUGCGGUGCAGCAGGCCAGAUGUUGUCCUUGUCAAACUCAAUAUCAGAUUUCCGUAGUUUUCCGUUGCAACAGCUGAGCUAAGUGGGUUACUGCCCUUCCCCAUUAGUCUGAGUCUUAAUUGAUUUACCCAUAAUUCUUUCACCAAACAUCUCACUUAAUUUUCAUGCUCAAAUAAUCCAUAAGAGGGACAUGGGAAUAGGGAGAUGAGUUUAUCAAGCGUGAGACACUACGUCAAGCUCAGAGUUUCCUGGACAGUGGAGAGAAAAUGUUAAGUUAGAGGAUGUCAGAAUAAGUGAGUUAAGCAGGUGGAGACACUUCUAUGUUGAUUAGUGAGAUUAUUUGAAUAUGCUUGUAGUGAACUUUGAUUGGCUAGUAAAUUCUAAAACUGAACAUUAAAAUGUAAGUAUGUCAAUUUCAUUGUCAAAAAGUAGUGCAAAUAAUUAAUACUUUAUUGUCACAUUUUAAAGAAUUAUAUUUAAUAACCUUUUGUUAUGAUUUAAGAAGCACACUUAUUUUGAUGUGUUGACUAACAUUCUAAAGCACAUGUAAAGUGAUUUGAUAUUAUAUGUAAAGGUAAUAUAUUUUAAGGCAGAGGCUAAUAAGUGCAAAUAAGUGCAAAUAGCAAUAUUGUCAUGAUCCCAGCCUGUGUUCCCCUGUCGUGUGUGUGGACUUUUAUAUUAUUUCCUGUUUUACACCAUGUUUUGUAGUCCUCUGUAGUUUUUCAUGUCGAUUCGUCUCCCCAGGUGUUUCUUAUUUCCUUGUUAUCUUGUUAAGCCUGUUUCCCCUUGUGUAUAUAUACCCCAGUGUUUCUAAUGUUCUUUGUCUGGUGUUGUCCUUCCAUGGAUGUUACAUGUGUGCGCGCUUGUUGUCAGUUUUUCCCUUCAUGUCUGGAUUUAUCAGUUUUGCCUGGAUUUACUUUUAUUAUGUUUGUUUGAAUAAAUGUUUGCUGCAUCUGGAUCCUACUCUCGUUCCUCUGAAACAGCCACCGUUACAAAUGUGCUUUUAUGCAGAGAAAAUAGUACUGUAUACCCUUUAGACACUUUAUUUCCUCUUUUCAAAUAUUUUCUUCAUUUAUAUUUAAAAUAAACAAUACUCCGAGCUGAGUUAUAGGAAGAAUGAGUUCAGAAAAAGGUGGAUUCGAACACAUCAAAAGCUAACACCACCCACCUUACUCUCCACUUCUGCUGUCAUCAGAUGGGUUUCUUUUCUAAUUUUGUUUUGCUCAACCAGACAUUGGUGGGCAGAGUUAGUGUAAAUAGCCCCCGCCAACAAUGCGGGCUAUUUGCACUUGGUGUAAAAAUAGACAAUCUGAUAUAAGCUUCAAUAGAAAUUACAUUAAAGUAUAUAUGUUAGUUUGACAUAAAUGCUUGUCAGCACAUUCAACAGUACACUUUAACCAUAUUUUAAAUACAAUAGAAGUCAUUUUAAAAUUAAAUAGAGAUGCACAGAUGUUACAACCAAUAAAUCGGAAUCGAUUAUAAUCAGGGCCGAUUAUAGCAUGUCAAUCAAAAGGGGACGGAGAAAGACUCAUACUUUGUGUGGAGAAAAUCUAUCUUGUGUUGAAUUUAGGUUAAGUUAACACAUCAAUAACGCAUUAACAGUUAAAAAAACGACAUUAAAGUAGGCUCUAUAUGACCCUAUGAAUCACCUGUUGUUCAAGCCAGGGUUGCCAGGUCCGCAGUUUUUCACUACUUUAUUUUUUGCGUGUCUCCCAUCCAAUAAGCGCAAAGAGCUUUGUGCUUUGUUACUUGUGAUAAGAAACAAAGUCACAAAUUUCAAAUUCUGUACAUUUUAUCAUGAAACUCAAACAAAUGGCAUUUUGACGCUAUUAAAUUUGACAUGACAGAUCACUGUAGCGCCUCAAUUCAAGCGGCAGCACGGAGCGCAAGUCUUUUCUUUCACUUUAAUACAAGUUAUAGAUCGAAAAAAACAUGCAUGAACAUCAGAAGGUAUGUUGAAAAGUACAGUAGCGCUGGAGAGAGCUAAGCAGGAAGGCCUAAAAACAGAUGCAGAGGCUGCUUUGAUUCCUUAUCAUGUAAGUAACACUGGGUUUUGAUUGUCUGGAGCUGCUGUGCUGUUGGCGAUUAACAACAAACUCUUGUUUGUAUUUACUCAUGUGUACUGUACAUUCAUUUUUUGUGCUUCCUUGUCGUUCGUUCAUCAUCUGCGCUUUAUUUUUCGUGAAGCAUUUUGUUGUGCGUCAGCUGUGAUAAACAGACAGUGGCCAGAUAGUGAGAGUUUUGCAGUUAAACUACUGCACACUGACAACUACUAAAGAAUGUAGUGUUUAGCGGCAUUGGUAGUGCAUUCGCCUUGCAUGCAAGCAGCAAUUGGGCCGGGGUUCGAGACUGACUCGGAGCAGGGUGGUUAGGAUUGAAGUGUAAGUUUUGGUGGCGGAGCAAUGAAGAGAGGGGUGGGUUUGUUUGGGUUGAUUACAAAUAUCAACAGUGUUCAACAACGAAUUUGAGAAAUCGCAUACAGCACCUUUAAUCUGUUUUUCAACCACGGAUGUCAAUUAAUAAAGCACUUUAACAUUGCGUUUAUUUCAGGGAAGUUAUCCAAUGUUCACAGUUCGUUAGUUAGCUGUAAAUAAACACUAGAGAGGAGCUUAUUUACUGUUAAUGAUAUAAGUAUGUUUGAAUAAAUUUGCUAUGAAGACAAGUGUUUAUGAAAACUACCUUAUAUGCAACUGAGUUGCAUACAAAAAUUUCAAUUUUUAUUUGAGUGUAAUUAUUAUAUCUGUAAAUAAAUAUCAGUUGAAUAUAAUAGCUCUGAUGUUCAUUUUAACCACUAAUAUUAUAGUAAUGUACCAAAUGAGAGGGCUCCCUGUAUAGUUUGCAGCAUUAUUUUGAUUUUGAUCUCUAUUUUGACAUUAAUUAUUUGAUUUUCCUUAAGAAAAUCAAACUAUCAGUAUUGGUAUCAGAAGAUUGGUAUCAUUCUGAAUAAUCGGCUAUUGGUAUCGGCUGAGAAAUUUUGUAUUGUUGUAUCUCUAAAAUAUAAAGAUGUACUAAGUUCUACUUAAAUGGGUUAAAAAAAGCACUCUAAAGUUUGGCUAAUUGCAUUUAAUAUAAAUUUACACUGUAGUAUCUUUUAAUUUUAAUUAUUAUUUUUUUUAAUUGCAAUUAAGUCCACGAAGACAUUACAUUCAGUUUGCGCUUAAGUAUAUUCUUUUAAAGUAUAAUAUUUAGGUAAAAAAGUACCCUUUUUAAAAGUAUGCUAAAGUGUACUUCUUUUUCACAAGGGAAAGCAUGUUGCAGCAGACUUGAUGCGACCAAAUGUUGCCACAGUGGUUCUUGUAAGCUUUGGAAUCAAAGUUUAAAUAUGAGGAAGUGCUACAGAGAAUUGGGAACCAUGGAGGAGGGAAAUAACGGCUAAAAUUUAGGGCAUAGUGCUGCGACCAGCUGAUGCGGUCAGCUGUCAAAUCGCUCCAAUCACUACCAUUCUCCUAUUAGACACGGGACAUAUAUACGUGGCAUUACUGCCCGGUAAGUAUGCUCAAACUGCUCGCAACCCUCCCUCCCUCCCCAUUAUAAGCAUGAGCAUAUUACUGGGCACCUUCUGGUUGUCGUCUUUUUUGUUUCAGAUCACUAAGGCUUUUAAGUCCUGGCUGGCAUGGACCUCACGGCUGAGAGACACUCAUCCUCAUAACCAAGCUACAGUAUAGACGUCCCACUGCCACGUCCCACUGCCAUGUCAUGUUCGCUUUUAAGUGUCUUAACUGUCUAUGUAUUUUCAAGCUGAUGGUUCCGGGGGGUUAAUGUUAAAGCUCUUGUAUGUUUAAUUAAUUUUGGAGCAAGAGCCCCCAUAAGGAACCUAUACCGCCAAAGAUAAAUUGUGUUCAAUAAACUCAAGUAACUUGCCAAA
Molecule: long non-coding RNA, 5702 nt
Organism: Ctenopharyngodon idella (grass carp)
Lineage: Eukaryota; Metazoa; Chordata; Actinopteri; Cypriniformes; Xenocyprididae
Exons: 2
Source: RefSeq, a predicted model, not a curated record